Equus caballus (horse) is the source of this 1553-nucleotide non-coding RNA. The record is from RefSeq and is a predicted model, not a curated record. NCBI's taxonomy places the organism in Eukaryota, Metazoa, Chordata, Mammalia, Perissodactyla, Equidae.
GUGGUGCGGUUCCGUGGGAAACAAACCCAGGCCACCAAAGCUGUGAGAGCGCCGAACUUUAACCACUAGGCCAUCAGGGCUGGCUCCUUACAUACGUAUUUUUAACUGGACUGUUUUAUUCAGAGACUAACCCCAUCCCCCAAAGCCUUCCUGUCUGGUGUGUCCACAUGAGCUGGCUUAGUCCCAGGCCUCCACCCUAAACCCCUCCACUGAGAGUCUGCUGAGAGCAACAAGUUAAUCCAAGUUUGUGGUUUGUGGAUGCCCUCAUUCCCUGGUUUCAGUGCUAACGCAGGUUUCCCCUUUAACAUUCCUCUCCUCUUUGUUUUUCUUGGAUAAUAGAGGUUGAUUUCUGGUGGGACAAAUUGCCCAAAGUUCCCUGGACCGCCGCCUUGCUCACCUCCCACACUCAUCUCUCUGGAUUUGGAGCAUCAGUGUCUGAUCUGUCUCCUCACUCACCUGAGCCCUGAGGUUAGGGCUCAGGUCUGAUUCAUCUCUCAACAUGAGGCAGAGUUGGCCUCAAGAAAUAUGUAUGGAAUUGAAUCAACCCACUUAUUUGGCAUUGCCCAUCCCCAUCUAUGCUGCAGACUCUCAGAGUGCCUUACAUAAUUUACAGCCACCAGCAUGGUGCCUGGCGUACGCCUCACCCACUUCUUCCUCAUGGUGAAGAAGAGAGACCACUCUGAUGUGCCAGCGGGCAGGUGCCCACGCCUUGUGCCCCGUCUUCCAUGAGUCAGGAGCAAAGCUGAGCUGGCAGUGGAUUCACGAGAAGCAGUUCCCUGUGCUGAGGCUAUUUUACCUGUUUGUAUUGCUCACAAUACCACGUAUCAUUAGCAGCAAUUAAAACUGUUUCAGGAUCAGUUCAAAGCUGCCUUUGAGAACUGGCGCCAUAACCCACUGAAGCAGAAUGCCGGAAGCUGGACGCAGCUGUGGUCCCUGCUCCUAGGAGCUGUGCCAUCAAAGCCGGCACAACCCCCAACACCAACCCAGGGGGGCCGGGGGGCCGGGCCUCAGGACAGGCUGGGGCAGGAGGAGGGCCAGAUGGGGGCAGGCAACGGGACCCUGCUCACAGUGGUGAGUGCCCAGCGGUGGGAAGAAUGGACGGCAUCGUGUCCUUGGCCCCACAGCGUGGCGCGCAGAAGGCUGGAUGACCCACCGUCGAAGCUCGGGUGGCUGUGACUGGAGCUGCUUCAGGUGGUCAGCCAGCGCAUACACGUUGGUCUGAAACUCUUCAAAACUGGGCUGUUAAACAUCUGUAUCCUGUUUUCAUUAGCUUGAAAGCCAUAGUGAUGGAGACCUGCCUAGUUUUCUGAGCCAGCAAGUGUGCCCAGAGGCUAAUAAACAGCAGGUGCCCCCAGUAAAUAUGAUUCUAGUACUCAGUGUAAAUGUGCGUGCAAAUAAAUAUGUGAAAUGAAAGGUGGGAGCUGAAUUCUAUAUGCACGUUACACAGUUUCUUAGCUGUUCUGAACUGAGAACUGUAGUGCGACUGUGUGUGUGUGGUGUGUGUUCUACAUGUGCAGGAUGUGUGUACAGUGUGUGGGGAGUGUGUUUUUGCA